Molecule: non-coding RNA, 656 nt
Organism: Pelobates cultripes (western spadefoot toad)
Lineage: Eukaryota; Metazoa; Chordata; Amphibia; Anura; Pelobatidae
Source: the annotation of a GenBank genome assembly
GAUAAUGCAAUGAUGCAUUUUACAAAAGAGUGCUAAUAAUGCAAUUGACAAAAGAGCGCUGAUAAUGCAAUGAUGCAUUUUACAAAAGAGUGCUAAUAAUGCAAUGAUGCAUUUUACAAAAAGAGUGCUAAUAAUGCAAUUUACAAAAGAGUGCUGAUAAUGGAUAUCCUGGUUGUAUAAAGUCUGCCUGAAUACCACAGUCCUGGAGACAGAGAAGAGGCCAAUACCCUCGGUAAUAGAAAGCUUCCCUGGGUGUCUGAGCCCAUUGUACCUGUACACCCAGUGCAUAUCAAGGGUGAGUGAUUGCAUAGUGAUUACAUAUACUUAGCAGCAAGCGCUCCACUCAUUUACUGAUGUUAGAGUCGUUAUCAGGUCACACAGUAUAAGAUAUUUUUUGUACAGUUCUGGUGUGUUGUAAGGAACAAACCAAUCCAAGUAUUGUAGCAGCUUAUUCUAUGAAUCUUUCUAUUAUUCAUUAUUUGUUUGUAAGAGCCUCUUUUAUCACAGAUAGGUUCUAUAGCAUGGUCUCCAUACUGUAAUGAAUAACCCUUUGAAUAUUCAAAUUCACUCAAAACAGCCAAGUUGUGACUAAUUACUCUGCUCACAUUUUGCCAUCAGAUUUUAAUUUGCUACAAAUCAAAAUUUAAUGAUUAAAA